This is a long non-coding RNA of Haplochromis burtoni (Burton's mouthbrooder), 3951 nucleotides long. RefSeq lists it as uncharacterized. The transcript has 3 exons. The record is from RefSeq and is a predicted model, not a curated record. NCBI's taxonomy places the organism in Eukaryota, Metazoa, Chordata, Actinopteri, Cichliformes, Cichlidae.
AUUCAGAAAUAAAGCAACUUGCCACUUCCCUUUUGUGGCUCCUCCUCAGACACAAAUAAAGCUGACAGGAAGUUCAGGUCUGUUUCUCUCUCUGUCUGAUGAUCAUGAUGUUCAAACUAAACCAAGCAGCACUGCUCUUCAUCGAGCUUUUAGUGAUGUGGCAUGUCUCUGCAGUAAUGCUUCAAGACGAAAACAGAGCUAUGAUGGUGUCCAGAGGAGACUCAGUGACGCUGACUUGCAACAUAUCCAAGACAAAUACAACGCAAAUCUCCUGGACCAACAACAGAUCUGUUUUUCAUUAUUCCAUUGAGCUGAAUCGCACCUAUUCAAAUUUCUCAUUGCAUAGACUGAAAAUAAAUCAUGAGCUCCCUACAAAGCUAAUUAUUUGUAGUGCUCAGCCCGAAGAUGAAGGAAUUUAUAAAUGUAGCAUAACAGGCAAACGUGGUGUAAACAUCAUUACAUGGAAUUUAACUUUGUCUGAUAGUCCCAAAGGUGGGUAGCGAAAAAAGGCAGAUGAAUCACUUCUAGUAAAGGUCAAAUAAGCCAUUUAAAUGAAUUCUCUGCUGAUUUUAUACAGAAUCAAUUUCAUCACAAUAUUUUCUAUACAUACUCCCACCUGCAAUUGGAUUCCUUCUGUGUGGUAUCACACUAGCUGUCUUCCUCUACAGGUGAGUACAACUUUUAUAACUUCAUGAUGCAUGCACGAAUGUUGCUCUUUGUUAUGCUGAUGCAGAACUGUUGCAGAAGUGCUUGUAAGACGGAUUUCAUUAUUAAACAACAAUUUUAUUGUGUAUGCCUGCAUUGAAAGAGUUAGUUCAUCUCAAAUUACCAAUGAUUAUUUUUUAGUUGACCGAGCAGUUAAUUUUACGUACAUGUUGAGGAUUUGAAGCAUCUAAAUGCAGCGUGUUGUGAAUUUUUGUGUGUUCACUAUUUCUGCAAACACCACAAAUCUAAUCUAAAUUAAAAGAGGUGAAUCAGCCCUGAGUGCUUUAGCUUGACUUAUUUUUCUAUGCAGUAGAGGAUGAAAAGAGGAAAUGUCAGUAGUGAGGACGUGUUUGUGGUUAGAGUCAAAGUUGAGUCAAGGGCCAUUUUCUAUCCAACCACAACCUCUAUGUUCCUUUUUUUUAACUAGAAAAGAGUCCAGUCUGCAGAGGCUCAUCAUACUUAAAAGCUUUUGGAGAACAAAGAAAAAAGAACAAUCCAUGAGUCUGGGUAUUAGUUUUUAUGUUUCAGUACUGUAAUCAUGGUGUGGUACACAGGUAACCAAUCCAACAACAACACAGGAUCGAGCAAUAAGAAGGACAACAAAAUUGUAAUGCUGAAUUCAUAACUCGAGGAUAACUGGAUCAUAGGUGUAACUAAACACAAACAUUUACCAGGUAUAGCCUGGUAUUUUUAUGUUUAACUUGUGGUAAGUUACAGCGCGUUAGCAAGCACAAGAGUGUAACAGUAUAUAGUUACAGUAUUGUACUUAUAUAUAUAUCAAAGUGAGCUGUAUUACAAAGUGUUACAAUACAAAAAAGGAAGGCUUCCAAGGACAGUUUUCAUGUUUUCUAUUGGUAUGAUUUUUCAGUUCGUGUUGUUUCCAAAUUAUGUUUUAAUACAAUUCAAUAUAUAAUUCAGUUCAUUAUCUAACAUGUUAAAAAAAUAUAGCUACAAAUAGUGACUGCCUUCAUUGUCUGGGUUUUCUCACAGUGAUAGACAUUUUGCAUUUCCUGUGGUCACUAUAAGAUUUCGAGUUUGUUACAAUUUACUAACCAACUCUCAUGUGAUAAUGGACACGAAACAGGUGGAUAUAACUAAAAUGUGGUCAUUAUUGGUCACUGCUUUUACUCUGCAGAAAAAUGAGGAGGAGGGCACUGAAUCAGGAUCCAGUCCAGGAUCAGUUUCCACCUAAUUCAGGAGACCAGGCAGCGUUCUCUCAACCACAGGGUGGCACUGCUCACUGUAAAAACGACAAACAGAGUGGUCAGUAUAUGGAGAGGCUGAAUUUAAUCUAUGGCCACUACUGAGCUGAUCAGUCUUCCAGUUACACAGAGACAUGGAUGUUUUUCAACUUGAAAGCUGAAACUGCAGGGGAACCCCACCAGAAUGAGGACAGCAGGGCUACUGUUGCAAAGAAAUGUUGGAUUCAAGGACUAGAGAAAGGACAUGAACAUGCUGUUUCAGAGACAGAAGGAGCAUUUUUAAAAAGUUUUCAGUGCAGGAACAUUGUAUAUUAAUAUAUUUAAAUGGCUAUAACAGUUACUGAAAGGUACAUAACAAAGUCAUAAUAAAAUAAUACACUAUAUUUACAAUCCCCACAUAUCUUUGAUGAUAUGUCAGUAUAUUUUUCAGUACAGACAAUGGCAACAAUGAACAUGGUUUAAAAUACCUCAAACAUUUUUAUCACUUUCACCUUUAGAUCAGUGUUUCCAGGAAAGAGGUACUUUCUAUAUGUUCACAAUGCAUACCACCAGAAAUCAUCAAAGUUAUAGGGCUUUUUGUCUCUUUGUGAAAAACAAAACAUUAAGUGGACUUGAUGGCCUUGCUGGAUGUAAGAGAAAAUUUAAUGGCGUUUUUAACAUGACCCAACUUUACACUAAUACAAGUUUUAACAAAUUAAUUCAACACAUUUUAAGUUAUCGUGAUUGCAGACAGAAUGACAUGCACAUACACAAAUGCUACCAAAAUACAACCUACAACUGGUGAAGUGAAUAAAUAUCCAUGUUAUGGCAAUAAUGGAUGAACCGAACAGAAUCCACUUGGAGCUUUGAGAGAACAACAGGUGGUUGUUUUCAGAAUUAAGAAAAAUGAUUCCAAACCUUUUAAUCUUUUCAGUGGAGAAUAUCAGUGAAAAUUAGUUUUUAGUUUCUUAGCUGGUUUAUUGAAUAGAAACAAAGCCUAAUUGUUGUUGAUGGAAUAUGUAUAUGAAUAUGUAUAUGUCUAUGAGGAUCCACAAUGUCUCCUCAUCUUCCAUAGUCCUCAGCACUGGCUCCCCUCAGGGCUGUGUGCUAAGUCCCCUCCUGUUCACGCUGCUUACAUAUGACUGCUCAACCAGGCUGUCAUAUUGUAAAGUUUGCGGACAACACAGCUGUUGUUGGUUGCAUCACAAACAUUGAUGAGACUGGCUACAGGAAGGAUGUGGAACACUAAGAGGACUGGUGCAGGAAAAACAAUCUCUAGAGAUUGGCAUAUAUAAGUACAGAGCUGUGUUCAGAAGAGACUUGUUGAUGUUGACUUGCACCAUAUUAAUAAAAAAAUAAAACAAUAAUCUCUUGGACCAAAGUAAGAUCUGAGGAUAGCAGGGAUAGCAGUGGUGCCUGUGCUUUUUUAGAAAAGUAUAGUUUAAAAUGAGUUUGACCAACAUGCAUAUUAACAUGCAUAAUGCCAAACAAGAUUUGAUUAGCAAGUUGUGUUUUUUUAACAAAGUUAAAUGCAUAAAUGCAGAACACAUAGUGGAACCACAUGUAAUGCUUUUAAAAAGCCAGCAGAUGGUGACAGUUGAUUAUAUGUUAUGACACGAUAUGUAACUAAAUUGAUACUUUGGUUAGCACUAACUGAAACAAGUGUGAUUUUAAAAAGGGCCUUAACCCUUUGUGUAUCUAAGAUGAAUAUUUCGGAUGUUCAGAAUUGGAGGUUCGUGAUAAUACCUGUUUAAGUUAGCUCUGUGUUUUUCUGCAUUGCGCCAAAUACAUUCUGUUUUUUAGAGGAUGUUUUGUGGUCAUUACGUUGAGAGGCUCAGUUCAAGCUGUCAGCUGACAAGAAAACAGUUCUGAGAAAAACUGAACAGGAAACAAAGUGUGCAAAAGAAAAGACACACUGGAUGAAUCGCUCUACAGUUUGGAAUAUAAAGAUCUGAACAGCGCUCUCUGGUGACAAUUUCUACAUCUACAGGUAAUAUCUGAUGGUGAUGUUAUUUCCAUGACAUAAAAAAUAUUGGCACUAACUGGUUGCAGGUGAAAUAGAACA